AUUCAUCUAUGAAGGCCUAUUCAGGCUAGAAAACUUGUAGGAAGCAUAAGAAAGUGCACCAAGAUCCCAGCUGUGGUGAAUAAGCUCUCCAUUCGUGCCUUCACCAGAAGCACCUAGCGCAACAUGUAAUGGAUAGAUGUGCUCGGGCCAUGGAUGUGCAACUUUUGCAUGCGGAGCCUUCAUGUCAUAGUUAUUAACAUCUUGAUGCCUACAAAAAGAUGGCUACUACGUAAGCUGAAAAUAUGGAAGUUACCAGUAGGCUUAUUAUAAUGCCUAUCAUCUCACAGACAAGCACAAAAACGUAAUUUUAAAAGAGAAAGAUGAAAUAUAGUACACAUCAUUUAACGAGAUAGAUCAAGACUGUUUCCAUAAUCACAUUUCUGAAGUAUUGCAAAUAUGCAUAACAGAUGGGAGUGUAUUAAACAUAAAACAACAUAUAAGCACAAAAAUGAACAAAAUUACUCCGGUUUAAGCAGAGAAUACACAUCUUAUUUACUUGAGAAUUCUUACGCUUUUAACCAUGAACUAAUACCAACAAAAAGUUAAAAAAGGAAAGAAUAACGGAGCAAAAGAAAAGGACAGGAUGAGCAAGGAUAGUAGGAAGAAUAACUAAAGCAUGUCGCUAACACAAUGGAAUAAGUGUAAUCUGAUUAUCUCCUUUGCACAUUCCAAAUUGAUGUACAAUAAGAUUCAUAUUCCUUCACUUUCACAAUUAACAUUUUAAGUUCUUACACGAGAAUUUUGAAAAUGUUGACUCAAUCAGACACAUAUGAAUUAAUUCAAGCACAGUAUUCCCUCUCUUGAGCUCAACACAGAACAGUAUAAAAAAAUAUACACAGCAUUUGAAAUAUGAUAGUUUUGGCUGUGACGCAAGAUUUCCAAUGGUUUCUUUUAUUAGACACAAUAUCUAGAACAAGUAUAUAUAUUUUUUGAUAGCCCUAGAGCAAGUAUAUAUCUAAAGGCGCCAUCAUUUUAACAAGCAUUUGCAUUGACUUUAAUUUGAGUCUCUGUGACUAAUGAUGUGGUCAAAUACAGUGCUUCAAUGCCAACUAAAUGCGGAUACACACACAAAAAAUAUGCAACUUAUGAUAUCAGAUGUUACUUUGGAGCAAUUUCCUGACAUAUAUUAGCAUGUUGACAUAUAGUGCAAGAACACAUCAACCAUGUCGAUCAACAUUAGAUAUGUAUGUGAUUACAUUCAGCUCUAUAAGUUCAGACUUGAAAUAAAUGAGCUUUUCAAAAAACUCAGUCCUUGAUUCACCAGUUAAGCAUGCAAGUAAGUGGAUUAUAAGAAUGUACCUUCCACUGAGAAGGGCGUCUUUAAGCCAAUUGUCAAACUCUAAAGCCCAAGAAACAACACUUUUGGAUGAACCGAGAGCCCUUAGGUUGUGAGUGGCAGAUCCAGAACCAAUUAUGAGGACGCCUUCAUCCUUGAGGGAGGCCAAUGCUCUUCCCAUGUUGUAGUGAUAAGUACCAUCCCUAUUGGGCUGGACCGAGAGCUGGCAGACUGGAAUAUCUGCUUCCGGGUACAUGAGCAUGAGAGGGACCCACGCACCAUGGUCCAAACCACGUUUUUUGUCUUCG
This 1584-nucleotide long non-coding RNA is filed under the name Nicotiana tabacum (common tobacco). Its description in RNAcentral is "long non-coding RNA (NTAB_LNC011207)". The record is from RNAcentral. Lineage: Eukaryota; Viridiplantae; Streptophyta; Magnoliopsida; Solanales; Solanaceae.